UUCAAUUCUUGUCUAUUCAAUUCAAAUUGUACUUCAAUUAUAUCCACUAUCCCGUUCCAAUUCUAGCUAAUUUUUAUUGCAAUUUUGGUCAUUCAAAUCUAAUCCAAUGUGAUUUUGAGAUUUUAUCUUAUAAUCUGGAGCAUCCAUCUUUUGAUAUUGAACCUCAGCCCAUCAUCUCUUUAAUAAUUAACGGUUCAGAUUCAGCCGUCUUUUCUUUCCUUUUGGAUAUCAAAAGACCCAAGCCCUAACUAUCCAUUUUUCUACUCUUCCUCUCUUCCCUCUCUAGCCACCCUCUCUCCCAUCUUUUCUCUCCACCGAAAACUCUCUCUCCCAUCGCCUCUUCUCCUCUCUCCUCCCUUCUCUCUCUUUCCAGCGAUGGACAGUAGCCAGGUGAGGAAAACAGCCGCUGGCUGCCUCUGUUUCUCUCCUCUCCUUUCUCCAGUGUUGCAAAAGAAAGCAACCGGCCAUAGCAGCAACGAAAAAGCAGCAAACAAGCGACUUCAGUGAUGACAGAAGUGCCACGCCACUAGCCGGCAAACGAAAACAACAACAUCGGCAGCCAUCUCGGGCACAAGAUCAGCAGGCAGCCGACGAAGAACAGUAGAGACCAAGCAACCUACGGCCUGCGUGCUCCAGUGAAGCCAACAGCCAAACGACGCCAGCAGCAGUUCCAAGUCGCCUACCUGCUCUCCCCUCUCUCAUUUCCGGACAACAGCUUCGAUCUAGUGAACAAGGCGAACUCCGGCGAUGCUUUUGAAAGUUUCAAACUGGUCAAAAGAGGGAUAUUUAACCGAUCCGUCCGGUUUUCAAGAAUUGUAUAAUGAGGAAGGCAAAAGAAGAGAAACUGAAAGUUUGACCAAAAGGCGAAACAAAUUUAGGUAUUGUCCCCUCGCAAAAAAUCAGAUUCAAACAAAAUAAUAUAGAAUGAGAUGGCCAUAACUGUAGCGGCGGCAAUUAAUAUCUAUAGUGGAAUUCUUCAGAUUGGAUUGAUUUGGAAGCCCAACGAAAGGGAAAGGCUAAAGUCCCAGAGUGAUUGUUCGAUAAAUUGAGGCAAGUGAAUUUCUAAAUCCUUGUUAGGUGUAUGAAAUUUGUGCAUUUCCUUGUGGUAUAUGUUUGGGAGUAAUGGAAAUUGGUGAUGGUUGACUUGUUCACAUUGAUUAAUGCUAAUGAUGAAAAAGAGGAAAUAAAAAGGCAAUGUGAUUAACUGUUGGUUUCUGUGUGAUGUGUGAGAAUGGUUUGAAAGACUUGUGGAAUCAUUAUGUUGUUGUGCAUUGUGCAUUAAUAUUAAAAUGGUCAUCUCUUCAUUAUUUGUAUGAACAUGUCAUUUGCAUUGGUUCUGAGACAUGAUUGUGGUAAGUGUUAUGUGA
This is a long non-coding RNA of Solanum pennellii, 1367 nucleotides long. RefSeq lists it as uncharacterized. The record is from RefSeq and is a predicted model, not a curated record. The transcript has 4 exons. Lineage: Eukaryota; Viridiplantae; Streptophyta; Magnoliopsida; Solanales; Solanaceae.